GCUCGAAGAUUCCAUGCUUUGGUGUCAAAAUGAAGCUGAGGAAUUGAUGUUUGAUGUGUUCCUUGUCCCUAUUGAUCAAACAAAGUGUAAAUUAGAAAGAAAAAAAAUAGUGAAAUAUGUGUCAGCAGUAGAAAAGGGAAAUUUUAGGAUUAAAAAAUAUAUAUGAUCUGAUAAGUAGAAAUAUUUCAAAUAAUACAUUAUGUAUUUUUAGAUUUUUAUGUAAGUUUUCUAUUCCGUGAAAAGAAUAAUUUAAAUUCCAAGAACAUGCAUCCAAUUUAACAUCUUCACCAUCGGAUAAUUACUCCUCAGCACCCAUCGGACAUGACAUGAUACUUCAACAGUCAUACAUUUGACUAUUUCCUACCAAUUAAACAAAUUCAAUUUUGCAGCCACAGUCCUUUGUAUGUCAUGUAUGGUUGGCUGUACAUGACAAGGAUAUGUCUUGUGACCUUUUCUUGUUGCAAUUAUUGUUUUCAAUAACGAAUAACUUCCAACGGCUUGAUUAAUAACAUUUUCUUAUUUUUCUUAUGAUUUUUCAUAGUUUUAUUUAUAUUUUUUUUUCUCAGAGAAAUUUGUUAUUUGCAAAUCCGAUUCCGUCGAUCUAAAGUAAGUUCUCCUCGUUGACCUCGACGCCAUUUCCACGGGAAGAUGUCUCCUUGCUUACAUGGCGAUGCUGUUGCUCUAUGUCAUCCAAAGACCGCAGCGUCGAUCGCUCAACGAUUCUGCUGUCUUUGGAAGUUCAAAUCCCGAGUUCUUUCGCUCGUUGCAAAGACUCGACCAAACAAAGUCAACCACGCAUCUUAUCAUCUUCUCCAUCCCAAGCAACAUAACAAAGCACCGAAGUUUCUGACCAACACAUGGAAUAAAGAAGGCAAAACAUGCACAUGCAAAUAGUAAGUCACGCAACAACCAUCAAAGGGAGCUUUCAUCUGAUGGCGGCCUUAAACCUAUAGCUUUACCGAAAGAGAAGCUUCACGCAACGCGUGACAUCUCAACCACUCUUCAACCCACUUAUUCUGUGUGCAGUCUACUGAGAAUUCCAUGUCCUCCCACAGACCCUACUCUUGCGCCGCAAUACUGGGAACGCAGUGCAUCGGGAUCGCCCAAACAAGAUAUAAUUUAUCUUGGCGUUUAGGGAAGGAGAAGGGGAGAGGAGCUUCAAUAUUCAUUGUGGGGUGCAUGCAGCUUGCAGAAAGCAAACCUGAUUGUUUAAUGCCGGGUAGGUCGUCAUACGGGGUGGGCUGUCGUCGUCCCACGAACAAAGAUUCCCGGGGUUGUGUGCAGGCGUACCCCACGUGACCGACGUCGUCUCGCGUGCGCCGCCCCCGUUGCCGCC
This 1336-nucleotide long non-coding RNA is filed under the name Musa acuminata (dwarf banana). RNAcentral describes it as "long non-coding RNA (MACU_LNC002051)". Lineage: Eukaryota; Viridiplantae; Streptophyta; Magnoliopsida; Zingiberales; Musaceae. The record is from RNAcentral.